Molecule: ribosomal RNA, 480 nt
Filed under: uncultured bacterium
Lineage: Bacteria
Description: partial 16S ribosomal RNA
Rfam family: Bacterial small subunit ribosomal RNA
Source: RNAcentral
GACGAACGCUGGCGGCGUGCUUAACACAUGCAAGUCGAACGAUGGACCUCGAAAUGAUUUCUUCGGAAAGAUUUUUGAGAGGAUUAGUGGCGAACGGGUGAGUAACGCGUGAGCAACCUGCCUUAGACAAGGGGAUAGCCUCGGGAAACCGUGAUUAAUACCCUAUGAGACUCCACUUACGAGUGUAAGAGAAGUUAAAGCUAUUGCGGUCUAAGAUGGGAUCGCGUCUGAUUAGCUAGUUGGUGAGAUAAAAGCCCAUCAAGGCGACGAUCAGUAACCGGCUUGAGAGAGUGAGCGGUGACACCUGAACUGGGACACAGUCGAGACUCCUACGCGAGGCAGCAGUGGGGAAUAGUGCAACAUCGCGGGAACGCUGAUGCAGUGACGCCGGGUGAGCGAUGUAGUAAUUCGUUUCGUAAAGCUCUGGUCUUGGAGAAGAUCAUGACGGUAACCAAGGAGGAAGCACCGGCUAAAUACGUG